GAUGAACGCUGGCGGCGUGCCUAAUACAUGCAAGUCGAACGCUGGAAAUCUAGCUUGCUAGAUUGAAGGAGUGGCGAACGGGUGAGUAAUACAUAAGCAACCUACCCACGAAGACUGGGAUAAUCUCUGGAAACGGGGACUAAUACCGGAUAGGUAAUCGGAAGGCAUCUUCUGAUUAUUAAAGGUUAAAAACACUGGUGGAUGGGCUUAUGGCGCAUUAGUUAGUUGGUGAGGUAACGGCCCACCAAGACGAUGAUGCGUAGCCGGCCUGAGAGGGUGAACGGCCACAUUGGGACUGAGACACGGCCCAGACUCCUACGGGAGGCAGUAGUAGGGAAUUUUCGGCAAUGGGGGAAACCCUGACCGAGCAACGCCGCGUGAGUGAUGACGGCCUUCGGGUUGUAAAGCUCUGUUGUAAGGGAAGAACGGUAGAUAGAGAAUAUCUAAAUGACGGUACCUUACCAGAAAGCCACGGCUAACUACGUG
Molecule: ribosomal RNA, 486 nt
Filed under: uncultured bacterium
Lineage: Bacteria
Description: partial 16S ribosomal RNA
Rfam family: Bacterial small subunit ribosomal RNA
Source: RNAcentral